RNAcentral lists this ribosomal RNA (512 nucleotides) under uncultured Tetracladium. RNAcentral describes it as "eukaryotic LSU rRNA". It matches the Rfam family "Eukaryotic large subunit ribosomal RNA", at positions 87 to 601 of the family's 3401-position model. Lineage: Eukaryota; Fungi; Ascomycota. The record is from RNAcentral.
CGGCGAGUGAAGCGGCAAAAGCUCAAAUUUGAAGUCUGGCUCUUUUAGGGUCCGAGUUGUAAUUUGUAGAAGAUGUUUCGGGUGUGGCUCCGGUUUAAGUUCUUUGGAAUAUUACAUCAUAGAGGGUGAGAAUCCCGUAUGUGACCGGCAGCCUCCGCCUAUGUGAAACUCUUUCGACGAGUCGAGUUGUUUGGGAAUGCAGCUCAAAAUGGGAGGUAUAUUUCUUCUAAAGCUAAAUAUUGGCCAGAGACCGAUAGCGCACAAGUAGAGUGAUCGAAAGAUGAAAAGCACUUUGGAAAGAGAGUUAAACAGUACGUGAAAUUGUUGAAAGGGAAGCGCUUGCAACCAGACUUGCACGCAGUUGAUCAUCCGGUGUUCUCACCGGGGCACUCUGCUGCGUUCAGGCCAGCAUCGGUUUUGGUGGUUGGAUAAAGGCCUUGGGAAUGUGGCUUCCUUCGGGGAGUGUUAUAGCCCUCGGUGCAAUGCAGCCUACCGGGACCGAGGACCGCGCU